CCUACGGGAGGCUGCAGUGGGGAAUAUUGGACAAUGGGGGGAACCCUGAUCCAGCCAUGCCCGUGUGUGAAGAAGGCCCUCGGGUUGUAAAGCACUUUCAGUGAGGAAGAACGCCUGGUGGUUAAUACCCAUCAGGAAAGACAUCACUCACAGAAGAAGCACCGGCUAACUCCGUGCCAGCAGCCGCGGUAAUACGGAGGGUGCGAGCGUUAAUCGGAAUUACUGGGCGUAAAGCGCGCGUAGGUGGCUUGAUAAGCCGGUUGUGAAAGCCCCGGGCUCAACCUGGGAACGGCAUCCGGAACUGUCAAGCUAGAGUGCAGGAGAGGAAGGUAGAAUUCCCGGUGUAGCGGUGAAAUGCGUAGAGAUCGGGAGGAAUACCAGUGGCGAAGGCGGCCUUCUGGACUGACACUGACACUGAGGUGCGAAAGCGUGGGUAGCAAACAGGAUUAGAUACCCCGGUAGUC
Molecule: ribosomal RNA, 464 nt
Filed under: Vreelandella stevensii
Lineage: Bacteria; Pseudomonadati; Pseudomonadota; Gammaproteobacteria; Oceanospirillales; Halomonadaceae
Description: partial 16S ribosomal RNA
Rfam family: Bacterial small subunit ribosomal RNA
Source: RNAcentral